Molecule: ribosomal RNA, 429 nt
Filed under: Bacillota bacterium
Lineage: Bacteria; Bacillati; Bacillota
Also listed under: 4 other names
Description: Firmicutes bacterium partial 16S ribosomal RNA
Rfam family: Bacterial small subunit ribosomal RNA
Source: RNAcentral
UGGGGAAUAUUGCACAAUGGGCGCAAGCCUGAUGCAGCCAUGCCGCGUGUAUGAAGAAGGCCUUCGGGUUGUAAAGUACUUUCAGUCGGGAGGAAGGUGGUAAGGUUAAUAACCUUAUCAAUUGACGUUACCGACAGAAGAAGCACCGGCUAACUCCGUGCCAGCAGCCGCGGUAAUACGGAGGGUGCAAGCGUUAAUCGGAAUUACUGGGCGUAAAGCGCACGCAGGCGGUUGAUUGAGUCAGAUGUGAAAUCCCCGGGCUUAACCCGGGAAUUGCAUCUGAUACUGGUCAGCUAGAGUCUUGUAGAGGGGGGUAGAAUUCCAUGUGUAGCGGUGAAAUGCGUAGAGAUGUGGAGGAAUACCGGUGGCGAAGGCGGCCCCCUGGACAAAGACUGACGCUCAGGUGCGAAAGCGUGGGGAGCAAACAGG